AGCAUGCAGCAGGUUUGUACACAGAGAAGGGAGUGCAGAGUGCAUCAAGAAGGAGGCGGGGCGCUUCUGUACUCCUAGCCUUCUGAGAGAGAGAGAGCAGGGAGGAGGAGGAGGAGUUCGUGUGAGCAAAUAUGAAGUGCGCAAUGUUCCAAAACGGGGGACCUCCCUUUGCAACCCCCAAUUAAUCUCUCCCAGGCGGCACGCGGGGGUCCGGGCUCCCCCAGUGUGCUGUAGCAUGGCAUGCAUAGAAUCGCCACUCACUUCCCACCCAUAGCUGGAGAAGGGUUGGGUGCCAUGGGGAGAUGGUGUGUUUUUUUUCUAAUUCAUGGAACAGGAGGAGGUGGGCGUGCGGGUGCCCCCCUUGCACCACCUCAGGCAGAUUGGGGAGCCGAGGCGGGAUGAUGGGAUUAUCCGUGGGUGCUUUUUUCCAGCGGAGCUGCGUGUGGCCGUUGCACAACUGGAUGAGUUAUAAGCGGGAACGUUGGAGAAAUAUGGAGAUUGGUCCACUUCAAGUAAUCCUGCAGUCCUCAGGUUGAUGGAUGCUGAAAAGCUGUAGUGCUGUUACUAAAAUACAUGUUGACACCUGAAGACCUCUGUGAUGGCUGCUGAAUCUUUAGGAAGAGCUGGAUAGCCCAUGUCAUCAAGCUGUUAUCGACUCCUGAAAUACAAAGAUAUCAAGACAUCUGACUCACUAUGGCCCAUGCUACAGCUGUUUGAGAAAGUGGAUGUAUGCACACUAAAUGAUCAUGCAAAGGUGAUAUAAAGAAGUUAAAUACAAUGGAGCCCAAAACCCAUCAGUGGGGGGCAUGGGUAAUGAAUACUUCAUUUCCUGUUUUCACACUCCUGACCAUCCUUAGCUGUACUCUUUCUUCAAGCCAGUGUUUAAUCCUUCUGAUGGCCAAUGUGUUGGUAUUAUUCUUAAUUAAAGAAUCCAGUAUGCAGUUAUGCAGAAUACAGUCAGUGGUCUUGGACAAAUUCAACAUAACAUCAUCUGCUGGCGGACAUUCAUUAAGUCCAUUAAUCACAUUUCCAUGGAAAGCUACUACACUGGAUGCCUUUGAUUUCCUGUUGAUGAAACCAUGUUGGUUAAUGUGUUUCAAACACAGGAAAGUCAGCUGUUGACAGCCUACAUGUUACUCUGCUCUUCCCAGAAUAUACAACAACUGCAUCAUCAGUUUCAGGCCUACCAUGGUUUACAAGUUCCUAGAAGAUAACAGAGAAACAUUGCAGAUAGCAAAUUUACAGGGAAGUGGUCACAUCAGUAUGUUCCAUGCAAAGACAAGGUAGAAGAAGAUCCAGUUCAGCUAUGUGUACACAGCCUGUUCUCAGCCCUGGAACCAUAGGUUGACUGGAGAAGUACCGCAUCAGCUAAAAGUGGAGAUUUUCAGUAGCAUUUUGGUUUCUCAAUCCGUUGUGGAUUUGUUCUGUCCUGUCAUUUUGUCACAUUUUGUUACUUUGUUGCAUGACUGUUUCCUGUCCAUGUCUGGCUAUUGCUUCACUAGAUUGGGGAUGUUGUACUUUACUGUUGCAGCCGUGUCUAGCUUGUUUGGCACAGUGGAUCCCUUGGCUUUGUUUAAUUUGUUACCUUUCUUAGCACUGUUAUAGAACUGUCUUUAAGUAGUUCAGUGGUUUGGAGACCAUAAUUACCACUUAAAAGUGUAUUGUCACAAAUCUCAUGCAUGUGUCUUAAACAGUUCAUUUCUGGAUAUACUGCUGAUGUUAAAAGUUGUAGGUGGUUUGAAAAUAAAAC
Long non-coding RNA from Protopterus annectens (West African lungfish), 1750 nucleotides. RefSeq lists it as uncharacterized. The record is from RefSeq and is a predicted model, not a curated record. NCBI's taxonomy places the organism in Eukaryota, Metazoa, Chordata, Ceratodontiformes, Protopteridae. The transcript has 6 exons.